AAAAUGAGCUGGAGAAGGAAAUGACAAACCACUCUAGUACCUUUGCCAAGAAAACCCCAAAUGGAGUCAUGAAGAGGUAGACGCAACUAACUGACCAAAAAAAGUGGGAAGAGGAGAAUAAUGAUGGGGUUACCAAAAUGGGGGAAAAAAAGCAAGAAAUCAGAGUCACGGAGGCAUUGUUUGAAAUGCUUAGAAGAGAACAGAAUGAAGAUGAGGAAACUAAGUCUGAGAAGUUGAGGAACAUGCCCAGAUUCGCACAGUCAGUGGACUUCAGCAUGCAAGUGGGCCUCAGCCUGGAAUAUUUUUACAAUGUGGACAGAAGGAGAAAGGAGGGGACAGUCUUAGCAAUGACUCAAACAGCAAAGACAGUAUCAAAGAUGAGACACAAGUGUCUCUGUUGUUGGGAACCAAAUUCCCAUGAUGCUGUGACCUUGUAGGGUUCUUUCAUCACACUCUAUCCUGUUCCAGGUAUGUUACAAUUCAGGCCACUGUUGGGAACUUCUUGUUGUCACAGGCACUGCUGGGAGGCCGAGGGGGCUCAGUUGUGCGGGUGAAUUCUGGCCCCAGCUCUCAUUUCUUUGGUUGACUGACCAUGGGCCAUGACUCACUUCUCUGUGUCUUUGGUUUCUUAUCUACUGAGGGAAUACACUGGCCAUUCACUGAUCCCAGGUGGGGACCAGUACAGGUUACUGAUGUGGCAAAUCAGACACAACGGAACAGCACGGGCUAUGGGGUUAGGGGAAACUGAGCUUGAAUCUCAACCCUGCCCCUUACCACCUGUGUGACCUCGGGCAAGUCACUGAACCCUUUUGAACCUCAGUUUUCUUAUCUGUGAAACGAAGGGGGCCAGAUGAGAAGAGCCCUUCCAGAUCUCAAUCAGUGAGUCUAUAACCCAAGGUGGUCUGGAAGAAACUUGCAAACAUGGAUCAUUCUGAAAUGCUUUCUCAUCUGAGGGUCAUUAAAGAUAUUUUUAAAAAUUUAUUUUAUUUGUAAUUUAUGGAAU
This is a long non-coding RNA of Phascolarctos cinereus (koala), 1003 nucleotides long. RefSeq lists it as uncharacterized. The record is from RefSeq and is a predicted model, not a curated record. Lineage: Eukaryota; Metazoa; Chordata; Mammalia; Diprotodontia; Phascolarctidae.